Carassius gibelio (silver crucian carp) is the source of this 679-nucleotide long non-coding RNA. RefSeq lists it as uncharacterized. The record is from RefSeq and is a predicted model, not a curated record. Lineage: Eukaryota; Metazoa; Chordata; Actinopteri; Cypriniformes; Cyprinidae. The transcript has 3 exons.
GUUUUGGAGCCAUGAUGUGCCACCUGCAGUUAACAGGCUGCUGCUUUGUCUCUUGGCUGAUGCCGUUGGGCCGAGGCCAAUGAUUGAGAAGCAGUUUGACCAAUGGCGUGCGUAAGGCGGGACUUAACAAGAAAGGUCAAAACAGUGCAGAAACGCACACCAAAAAUUGUCUACCAUAGAAAGCAAAAGGGGAAAUUUCCUGCGACAUUGUGAGGUCAUCAUACUGGUGCACCCUUGGCCUUGUCAGUGGGUGAGGUCACAUCACUAAACUGUCUGAAGAAGUAAGGUGUCAUGGACCAUCAUAAAAUGUGCAUUACAUAUUUAAUGAACAAAAACAUUUUUGAAGUAAAAAAACAAUAUUUUUUUUUAUGUACGAAACUCAAGAACAUAUAAAAAGAGUAACAUGAUCAUACAUGAUAAUGAAUAUAGAUAUGUGAUGUAUGAUAUAUAACCAUUUUCUCUCUUAUUUUUUAAAGGCAUCAACAUGGAGAUUGAAUUGGAGACCAUUGUUCUGUUCGAAUUGUAGUUUGUGGAAGAUGCAAUGAUGAAAUUAAUUUGAAUUGUCAAUGUUGUAUUUUAAGCAUAUAAGCGAUGUUCAGAUGAUGGUACUGUAGCACUGUUUAAAGUUUUUAAUAUUGUUGUUAUUUACAAUGGAAACUACUGUAACAGAAGAAAAUAA